RNAcentral lists this ribosomal RNA (494 nucleotides) under uncultured bacterium. RNAcentral describes it as "partial 16S ribosomal RNA". It matches the Rfam family "Bacterial small subunit ribosomal RNA", at positions 28 to 507 of the family's 1533-position model. The record is from RNAcentral.
GACGAACGCUGGCGGCGUGCUUAACACAUGCAAGUCGAACGGUGAAGCGCCUUCCUUUUUGGUGGGUGUGGAUGAGUGGCGAACGGGUGAGUAACACGUGAGUAACCUGCCCCCUUCUUCUGGAUAACCGCAUGAAAGUGUGGCUAAUACGGGAUAUUCUGGGUCUGUCGCAUGAUGGGUCUGGGAAAGAUAUUGUUUCGGUGGGGGAUGGGCUCGCGGCCUAUCAGCUUGUUGGUGGGGUGAUGGCCUACCAAGGCGGUGACGGGUAGCCGGCCUGAGAGGGUGGACGGUCACACUGGGACUGAGACACGGCCCAGACUCCUACGGGAGGCAGCAGUGGGGAAUAGUGCACAAUGGGCGCAAGCCUGAUGCAGCGACGCCGCGUGAGGGAUGGAGGCCUUCGGGUUGUGAACCUCUUUCGCCAGUGAAGCAGGCCUGCCUCGUCUGUGGGUGGGUUGACGGUAGCUGGAUAAGAAGCGCCGGCUAACUACGUG